CACGUAGGCACCAAGCGUUGUCCGGAUUUAUUGGGCGUAAAGAGCUCGUAGGCUGUUCGGUAAGUCGGGUGUGAAAACUCAGGGCUCAACCCUGAGCCGCCACCCGAUACUGCUGUGACUCGAGUGCGGUAGGGGAGCGGGGAAUUCCUGGUGUAGCGGUGAAAUGCGCAGAUAUCAGGAGGAACACCAGUGGCGAAGGCGCCGCUCUGGGCCGUGACUGACGCUGAGGAGCGAAAGCGUGGGUAGCAAACAGG
This 254-nucleotide ribosomal RNA is filed under the name uncultured prokaryote. RNAcentral describes it as "partial 16S ribosomal RNA". It matches the Rfam family "Bacterial small subunit ribosomal RNA", at positions 524 to 776 of the family's 1533-position model. The record is from RNAcentral.